This 1239-nucleotide long non-coding RNA is filed under the name Homo sapiens (human). RNAcentral's name for it is "HSALNT0329507". The record is from RNAcentral. Lineage: Eukaryota; Metazoa; Chordata; Mammalia; Primates; Hominidae.
UCUCGAUCUCCUGACCUCGUGAUCCAACCGCCUUGGCCUCCCAAAUGCUGGGAUUACAGGCGUGAGCCACCGCGCCCGGCCCAUAUGUUGAAAUCUUAACCCCCAAUGUGAUGAUAUUAGGAUGCGGAGCCCUUGGGAGGUCGUAAGCAUGGAGCCCACGUGAGUGGGAUUAGUGCCCUUAUGAAGAGAUCCCAGCCCUCUUUCUGCCAUGCGAACACACAGCAAGAAGAUGCCUGUCUAUGAACCAGGGGGCCCUUACCAGAAACAAACCUACUAGCAUCUUGAUCUCGGACUUUCCAGUUCCCAUAACCAUGAGAAAUAAAUGUUUUUAAUUCAAUGUAUGGUAUUUUAUUAUAGCAGCUCUACCUAAGACAGUACAUGUAUAGUGUCUAUUUGAACAUUACUGAUAAUGUUGAACAACUUUUCAUGUUUAUUAGUUAUUAGGUUUCUUCAAGUGUUCUUAUUCAUACAAAUUUUAAAAUAUGUACACAAGUUCUUUGUUAUAUAUUUUGCAAAUAUCUUCUGUGGCUUGUCUUUUCACUAUUUUAGUUCUGUCUUUUGAUAAACAGGAGCUUUUAAUUUUUAUGUCAAAUCUAUCAAGCUUUUUCUUUUUGAUUUAUGUUUUUUAUGUCUUAUUUGAGAAAUCCUUCUAUACCCCAAGAUCAUGAGGAUGUUUCCUGUGUUCUCUUCUGAAAGCUAUAUAGUCUUUGUCAUUUAGGUUUAUCUUUAUACGUGGUAUGAAGUGUAAAGUUCUACUUUUAAUUUUUUGCAUAUUUUAUUAGGAUAGGAUGGGCUUUUUCUGUAGUAAUAAUCCUUAAAUCUCAGGGGCUUAAUAUAUAAAAUUGUCUCAUGCAAAAAACCACUGGGUCUAGGGCAAUUGCUAUCUACUGCCGUCUAAUCUCCCUCUAGUGGCUUCCAUUGGUAGACCCUAACAGGAAGCCAGCUGAUAAGGGAAUCUGGGAAAUGUAGUUUACAGAGUGGCAGCUACAGUAGAACAGUAGAGACUACAAGGAUGAGCUUGCAGCUGAGAAUAGAAACGUGACUGGCACACUAGGUGGUUUGUUUGUAGGUUUUUUCUUUUCCUGUUUGAGACUUUUUUGGAUUCUUGAAUUUGUACAAUGGUAUCCUUAAUCAAUUGUGGAAAAUUAAAUGAUUUUUUCUUUCAGCAUUGUCUGUUUCUUCUGUAACUGAUUAAAUGUCUAUCAUUUUUGCUUCAUGUAUUUUGAAACUCUUGGUUAG